Molecule: transfer RNA, 75 nt
Filed under: Mus musculus (house mouse)
Lineage: Eukaryota; Metazoa; Chordata; Mammalia; Rodentia; Muridae
Rfam family: tRNA
About the family: Transfer RNA (tRNA) molecules are approximately 80 nucleotides in length. Their secondary structure includes four short double-helical elements and three loops (D, anti-codon, and T loops).
Source: Rfam by way of RNAcentral
UGGAAUGUAGCUCAGUUGGUAGAAAGCAUUUGCCUAGUGUGCACAAAGUUCUGGGUUUUAUUCCUAGCACCCCUA